UUGUACUCUGUACAGGAACAAGCUCACACUGUACAGUUUGGCUUUCAAGAUGCUUGACAGGUUUAGCCCUAACCUGCCUUUAUGUCUUAGCUACAAGCUACCUUUUAUGUUAACGUACUAAAUCAAGUAACUCCAGCCAAACUAAACUACCUAUCCUUAAAUGUUUUUAUUCUUUUCCUUUAAACAUCUUCUCAUGUAACUGUUCCUGAUAGCCUCUUUUCUCUAUCAAAAAUUCAAGCAAAGAUUAUUUUUAAUUACAUGUAUGUGUAAUUAUGUAAAUGCAUUCUCUCUUAUUUAUACUAUUUACUGUUCUUCAGGACCUGACUUAGGUCCCCCUUUUCUUCCCAGGCCACUUUGGUUUACAGU
This 366-nucleotide long non-coding RNA is filed under the name Bos taurus (domestic cattle). Its description in RNAcentral is "long non-coding RNA NONBTAT018244". The record is from RNAcentral. Lineage: Eukaryota; Metazoa; Chordata; Mammalia; Artiodactyla; Bovidae.